Molecule: ribosomal RNA, 253 nt
Filed under: uncultured bacterium
Lineage: Bacteria
Description: partial 16S ribosomal RNA
Rfam family: Bacterial small subunit ribosomal RNA
Source: RNAcentral
UACGAAGGGGGCUAGCGUUGCUCGGAAUUACUGGGCGUAAAGCGCACGUAGGCGGCUUUCUAAGUCGGGGGUGAAAUCCUGGAGCUCAACUCCAGAACUGCCUUCGAUACUGGAGAGCUCGAGUCCGGGAGAGGUGAGUGGAACUGCGAGUGUAGAGGUGAAAUUCGUAGAUAUUCGGAAGAACACCAGUGGCGAAGGCGGCUCACUGGCCCGGUACUGACGCUGAGGUGCGAAAGCGUGGGUAGCAAACAGG